UACAGAGGUCCCAAGCGUUGUUCGGAUUCACUGGGCGUAAAGGGUGCGUAGGCGGUCGGGUAAGUCUGAUGUGAAAUCUCACAGCUUAACUGUGAAACUGCAUUGGAUACUAUUCGGCUUGAGAGUUGGAGGGGGGACUGGAAUUCUUUGUGUAGCAGUGAAAUGCGUAGAUAUCAAGAGGAACACCAGUGGCGAAGGCGAGUCCCUGGACAACUUCUGACGCUGAGGCACGAAAGCUAGGGGAGCAAACAGG
This 253-nucleotide ribosomal RNA is filed under the name uncultured bacterium. RNAcentral's name for it is "partial 16S ribosomal RNA". It matches the Rfam family "Bacterial small subunit ribosomal RNA", at positions 524 to 776 of the family's 1533-position model. The record is from RNAcentral.